ACUCCUCUCUCUCUCUCUCUCUCUCUCUCUAUCUGCGAUUCCGAUUUUUCCAGCGACGACGACGACGACGACGACGACGAGGGAGGAGACCAAAGCAGGCGAUCGAGACCGUGCGAAGCCGAGAUCGAUGGACUCCCUGGGCGCGUACAUCUCCUACGAGAAGCUGAAUGGCGUCGCCUCCUGGGUCGGCACCAGCGUCGCGGCGGCCUUCUUCGCCUCCCUCGAGCGCUGCUCCUGCAUCAACCUCUCCACCUCCGAGGACGACGCCGACGACCCCACCGAGGCCCACGACCUCCCCCUCAUGCUCUCCUCCGCCACCAACGGCGACCCCAACGACGUCGCCAACCUCCCCGUCUGAGCCCCUGAGCUCCCGAUUCCGAGCCGCUCCGGUACAAUUCCUGUCGAAAUUUCCCCCCGGAUCGAUCGCCUUUUUGUUUUCUUCUUCUUCUUCUUCUUCUUUCUUUUUGUGUAUUUCUUUCGGGCGAUAUGUGUUCGCUGAAUGUGAUUAAGUCCUUUUUUUUGGUUUUUUUCUUUUUUUUUGGGGUUCGCUCCUAAGUUAGCGCAUUGGCGUGGCUGUAUCUGGUCGCGCAAUCGUGAAUCGUGAUCCUUUAGGCUGGAUCGAGCGCUCGUGGCUAUUCGAUUCGCCGGUGGAUCGCGCUUGUUAGUGAUUUGAUUUUGCAUCAUCAGUAUGUCUGGUUUCUUUUCUGUUCGGAUUGUACAAUGAUGAAGCUGUUGUUGAUAUAAUUUCUUCAAAGUCUCGGAUUUGAACGUGGUAAUGGCAGUUUUGGAGAUGGCAUAAA
Long non-coding RNA from Eucalyptus grandis, 800 nucleotides. RefSeq lists it as uncharacterized. Lineage: Eukaryota; Viridiplantae; Streptophyta; Magnoliopsida; Myrtales; Myrtaceae. The transcript has a single exon. The record is from RefSeq and is a predicted model, not a curated record.